ACGCUCGACACCUACGGGGGGCAGCAGUGGGGAAUAUUGCACAAUGGGGGAAACCCGUGAUGCAGCGACGCCGCGUGAGCGAAGAAGUAUUUCGGUAUGUAAAGCUCUAUCAGCAGGGAAGAAACUGACGGUACCUGACUAAGAAGCACCGGCUAAAUACGUGUCAGCAGCCGCGGUAAUCUGAGCGGGCUGGCAAGGC
This 199-nucleotide ribosomal RNA is filed under the name uncultured bacterium. RNAcentral's name for it is "partial 16S ribosomal RNA". It matches the Rfam family "Bacterial small subunit ribosomal RNA", at positions 328 to 539 of the family's 1533-position model. The record is from RNAcentral.